ACUUUCAACAACGGAUCUCUUGGCUCUCGCAUCAUGAAGAACGUAGCGAAGUGCGAUAAGUAGUGUGAAUUGCAGAAUUCCGUGAAUCAUCGAAUCUUUGAACGCAAAUUGCGCUCCCUGGCAUCCCGGGGAGUAUGCCUGUUCUGAGGGUCAGU
RNAcentral lists this ribosomal RNA (155 nucleotides) under uncultured Glomus. Its description in RNAcentral is "5.8S ribosomal RNA". It matches the Rfam family "5.8S ribosomal RNA". From Rfam's summary of the family: 5.8S ribosomal RNA (5.8S rRNA) is a component of the large subunit of the eukaryotic ribosome. It is transcribed by RNA polymerase I as part of the 45S precursor that also contains 18S and 28S rRNA. The record is from RNAcentral. Lineage: Eukaryota; Fungi; Glomeromycota; Glomeromycetes; Glomerales; Glomeraceae.